RNAcentral lists this ribosomal RNA (586 nucleotides) under Exophiala sp. NRRL 62980. RNAcentral's name for it is "eukaryotic LSU rRNA". It matches the Rfam family "Eukaryotic large subunit ribosomal RNA", at positions 1 to 590 of the family's 3401-position model. Lineage: Eukaryota; Fungi; Ascomycota; Eurotiomycetes; Chaetothyriales; Herpotrichiellaceae. The record is from RNAcentral.
UUGACCUCGGAUCAGGUAGGGAUACCCGCUGAACUUAAGCAUAUCAAUAAGCGGAGGAAAAGAAACCAACAGGGAUUGCCUCAGUAACGGCGAGUGAAGCGGCAACAGCUCAAAUUUGAAAUCUGGCCUCUUUGGGGUCCGAGUUGUAAUUUGUAGAGGAUGUUUCGGGUACCGCCUCGGUUUAAAUUUCUUGGAACAGAAUGUCAAAGAGGGUGAGAAUCCCGUCUUGGACCGGCGGUAGGGCCCAUGUGAAACUCCUUCGACGAGUCGAGUUGUUUGGGAAUGCAGCUCAAAAUGGGUGGUAAAUUUCAUCUAAAGCUAAAUAUUGGCCAGAGACCGAUAGCGCACAAGUAGAGUGAUCGAAAGAUGAAAAGCACUUUGAAAAGAGAGUUAAACAGUAUGUGAAAUUGUUGAAAGGGAAGCGCUUACAACCAGACUUGCGCGCGGCGGUUCCCCCUUCCUUUUGGUUGGGCUACUCCGUCGUGUCCAGGCCAACAUCGGUUCUGGGGGUCGGUUAAAGACCCUGGGAAUGUACCUACCCUUCGGGCGUAGACUUAUAGGCCCAGGGUGUCAUGCGACCCUCCCG